UGCGGUAUUUUAACUGUACUAAGGUAGCAUAAUAAUUUCCCUUAUAAUUUGAGGCUAGAAAGAAUGGUUUGAGGAAAGUUAAUCUGUCUCUAUCUUAUUUUUUAAAAUUUAAUCUUCGGAGAGAAAAAGCUUAAAUUUUUUAAAGGGACGAGACCACCCUAUUGAGCUUAUAAUUUGAGGGUUGCUUCAAACUACCUAUUUGGGGAGCAAUUUAAAAAUUUGCAUUGGGGUGAUUAAGGAAUAAAUAAGAAAAUCCAUAUAGUAACUUCCUAUAGAUUGAUAUAUUGUUUAAUAAAGUCCCAAUGUUAUUAUUGCUUUUCUAAUAGUUACCAUAGGGAUAACAGCCAAGUCUGUUUAGAGAGUUCUUAUUGAACAAUGGGAUUGCUACCUCGAUGUUGGAGGAAGCACCUCAGGGUGCAGAAGCUU
RNAcentral lists this ribosomal RNA (426 nucleotides) under Cranchiidae environmental sample cf. Leachia sp. RNAcentral's name for it is "partial 16S ribosomal RNA". Lineage: Eukaryota; Metazoa; Mollusca; Cephalopoda; Oegopsida; Cranchiidae. The record is from RNAcentral.